This is a non-coding RNA of Ixodes scapularis (black-legged tick), 73 nucleotides long. NCBI's taxonomy places the organism in Eukaryota, Metazoa, Arthropoda, Arachnida, Ixodida, Ixodidae. The record is from Rfam.
UCCUGGUUAGCUCAGCUGGUUGAGCACCCCACUGGAAAUGGAGAGGUCUCUGGUUCCAUACCAGGAACAGGCG